Marmota marmota marmota (Alpine marmot) is the source of this 134-nucleotide small nucleolar RNA. Its record names the gene SNORA70. It matches the Rfam family "Small nucleolar RNA SNORA70". From Rfam's summary of the family: snoRNA U70 seems to be exclusive to mammals and is a member of the H/ACA class of snoRNA which contain H (ANANNA) and ACA box motifs. H/ACA box snoRNAs are involved in the conversion of uridines to pseudouridines (5-ribosyluracil) a constituent of structural RNAs (transfer, ribosomal, small nuclear, and small nucleolar). NCBI's taxonomy places the organism in Eukaryota, Metazoa, Chordata, Mammalia, Rodentia, Sciuridae. The record is from Ensembl.
AGACAGAGAUACAACUUGGGGCUCCUUUUUAGUCCUGGGGAUCUGGAAUGCUAUGGCUGUAAACAGCAGCCUUCUCCCUAGUAUUGGCAUCCUGUUGCUUAUAUGGGUUACCCUAAGGGAUCCUGGAGACAGCC